AACUAUGGCCAUACUGCCCUGAUCUUAAAGCUAAGCAGGGUCUGGCUGAUUAGUACUUGGAUGGGAGACCACCUAGGAAUACCAGGUGCUGUAGGCU
Molecule: ribosomal RNA, 97 nt
Filed under: Otolemur garnettii (small-eared galago)
Lineage: Eukaryota; Metazoa; Chordata; Mammalia; Primates; Galagidae
Source: RNAcentral